GCCAAUGGCUUAAUGGCAAAGUUAACAGUUUUCCUUGCUGAAUUUAUCACUCAUUUUUAAUAACAGAUGAUUGGCAUGUCAAUGCUAGCUUACAGUGGAACUCAGCUGUAAGGAUUGAAACAUGUUAGCCCCGAUGCUAACUGAUUCUGAGAUUAAUUAAUCGGUAAUGUUUGAUAUCAGAAUGAUGUUAACUACUGUUCUGGCUAUAUAUGGGCCCUAUGAAGAUCUGGAUCAGUCCACGGGUGCUUCUGGUCACGGCUAUGCUCUGUGAAGUGGGGGGGCUCUCAGCUGGCACCGCAGGGCAGGACCCAGGGUUGUUGGAGGCAGACUGGGGCUCUAUGGCACUGCCAUCUGCUGCUGAGUGA
This 365-nucleotide long non-coding RNA is filed under the name Astyanax mexicanus (Mexican tetra). Its description in RNAcentral is "lncRNA (ENSAMXG00005012626.1)". The record is from RNAcentral. Lineage: Eukaryota; Metazoa; Chordata; Actinopteri; Characiformes; Acestrorhamphidae.